Molecule: ribosomal RNA, 375 nt
Filed under: uncultured bacterium
Lineage: Bacteria
Description: bacterial SSU rRNA
Rfam family: Bacterial small subunit ribosomal RNA
Source: RNAcentral
ACUCCUACGGGAGGCAGCAGUGGGGAAUAUUGCACAAUGGGCGCAAGCCUGAUGCAGCCAUGCCGCGUGUGUGAAGAAGGCCUCGGGUUGUAAGCACUUUCAGUUGUGAGGAAGGUGGUGUCGUUAAUAGCGGCAUCAUUUUGACGUUUUAGCAACAGAAGAAGCACCGGCUAACUCCGUGCCAGCAGCCGCGGUAAUACGGAGGGUGCGAGCGUUAAUCGGAAUUACUGGGCGUAAAGCGCAUGCAGGUGGUUUGUUAAGUCAGAUGUGAAAGCCCGGGGCUCAACCUCGGAACUGCAUUUGAAACUGGCAGACUAGAGUACUGUAGAGGGGGUAGAAUUUCAGGUGUAGCGGUGAAAUGCGUAGAGAUCUGAA